RNAcentral lists this ribosomal RNA (253 nucleotides) under uncultured bacterium. RNAcentral's name for it is "partial 16S ribosomal RNA". It matches the Rfam family "Bacterial small subunit ribosomal RNA", at positions 524 to 776 of the family's 1533-position model. The record is from RNAcentral.
GACGUAGGGUGCGAGCGUUGUCCGGAUUUAUUGGGCGUAAAGAGCUCGUAGGCGGCUCGUCGCGUCAGCUGUGAAAACCCGCGGCUUAACCGUGGGCUUGCAGCUGAUACGGGCGGGCUAGAGUUCGGUAGGGGAGACUGGAAUUCCUGGUGUAGCGGUGAAAUGCGCAGAUAUCAGGAGGAACACCGGUGGCGAAGGCGGGUCUCUGGGCCGAUACUGACGCUGAGGUGCGAAAGCGUGGGGAGCAAACAGG